CUGUGAUCCACUCAUUCCACAAAUUAUUGUGAGUUUUGGUACUGUGGACCUCUGUGAUCCACUCACACCACAAAUUAUUGUGAGUUUUGUUCCUGUGGAGCUCUCUGAUCUGCUCACACUACAAAUUAUUGUGUUUUAUUACUGUGGAGCUCUGUGAUCCACUCAUACCACAAAUUAUUGUGAGUUGUAUUGCUGUGGAGCUCUGUGAUUUGCUCACACUACAAAUUAUUGUGAGUUUUAUUGCUGUGAAGCUCUGUGAUCCACUCAUACCACAAAUUAUUGUGAGUUUCAUUACU
Non-coding RNA from Pelobates cultripes (western spadefoot toad), 296 nucleotides. The record is from the annotation of a GenBank genome assembly. Lineage: Eukaryota; Metazoa; Chordata; Amphibia; Anura; Pelobatidae.